AGAGUUUCCUUCUGGCUCAGGAUGAACGCUGGCGGCAUGCCUAAUACAUGCAAGUCGAACGAGAGGAAGGAAAGCUUGCUUUUCUGAAUCUAGUGGCGAACGGGUGAGUAACACGUAGGUAACCUGCCCAUGUGUCCGGGAUAACUUCUGGAAACGGAUGCUAAAACCGGAUAGGUAGCAGACAAGCAUUUGACUGCUAUUAAGGUGGCUUUGGCCAUGAACAUGGAUGGACCUGCGGUGCAUUAGCUGGUUGGUGAGGUAACGGCCCACCAAGGCGACGAUGCAUAGCCGGCCUGAGAGGGCGGACGGCCACAUUGGGACUGAGACACGGCCCAAACUCCUACGGGAGGCAGCAGUAGGGAAUUUUCGUCAAUGGGGGGAACCCUGAACGAGCAAUGCCGCGUGAGUGAGGAAGGUCUUCGGAUCGUAAAGCUCUGUUGUAAGAGAAAAACGGCACUCAUAGGGAAUGAUGAGUGAGUGAUGGUAUCUUACCAGAAAGUCACGGCUAACUACGUGCCAGCAGCCGCGGUAAUACGUAGGUGGCGAGCGUUAUCCGGAAUGAUUGGGCGUAAAGGGUGCGUAGGUGGCAGAUCAAGUCUGGAGUAAAAGGUAUGGGCUCAACCCGUACUGGCUCUGGAAACUGAUCAGCUAGAGAACAGAAGAGGACGGCGGAACUCCAUGUGUAGCGGUAAAAUGCGUAGAUAUAUGGAAGAACACCGGUGGCGAAGGCGGCCGUCUGGUCUGGAUUCUGACACUGAAGCACGAAAGCGUGGGGAGCAAAUAGGAUUAGAUACCCUAGUAGUCCACGCCGUAAACGA
Molecule: ribosomal RNA, 818 nt
Filed under: uncultured bacterium
Lineage: Bacteria
Description: bacterial SSU rRNA
Rfam family: Bacterial small subunit ribosomal RNA
Source: RNAcentral